GAUGAUGCAGGAAAAGGACCUCAUUAUGAAAUUUUGCUUUACAAAAUCAUGUUGUCAGUAUCAUUUGUGAUGGGAACUUCAGAAAACUGGUUUUAAGGGCACGGAGAGAGAAAAAAAACAAAGAAUUGGAUAGUAUAUAAGCAGCAAGAAUAAAGAAAUAAGUAACGGAGCUGACUGAUAAAUAAGCAAAGAAAAAGCAGAUCUGUAGGCAAAACUGGGUAAACAAAAUAAGUAAUCACUUCUCUAGGCUGGCUUUUCAGUAAAAGAUCCUUUCUUCGUGUUUUUAAAUCCUCACUGUACUACAACCUGAUGUUAGGACAUGCUCUUCUUCCAGCCACAUCAACAUUUAUUUAAUGGCACUUUUAAAACUGGCUAGAUGUUUUUGUCCAGCUUCAUUUAAGAUGCCCUCUGGCAUCCCAGGAGCCACUGGUGCUGCCCUGAAAACUGGUACUUCAGUAUUUCAAGGACAGCUGAAAUAGCAGGGGAAGACUGAUGUGUGUUCUUACGUGUGCAUCUGGAGUCUGAUGAAGAGAACGAACAGAGCUGAUAAAGGAUGCUCACAAUCAAAUCCAGGCCACAUAAUAAAAUCGGGUGAAGAACAGACCUUUGCCCUGAAGCUUUAAUUCUUAUUGGCAAAGAAAAGAGAGCGUUAAUGCAAUUUCACGUACUGCUACCUUCGCUCACUUCUCUUCUUCAACAACAAAUAAACUUGUGUAUUUGUGCACAUCAGAGUUAAGAUUCCAGGAAAAGGGAUUCAAAAUACCUGUUCCUCUUCUGCAUGAAUUCUAACGUUGGAAGCCUGGCUUUAGAUCUGGGCUCACUGAACGUCUCAUAGCUGGUUGUUAUGGCAGUAUCUACAUCUCAAAGACAUUCUAACAAUAUUGAGAGAAGGGAGAAAGAGGCAAGAUCUCAUCAAAGUUGUUUUUGCAAAGACUGAGAGCUGGGAGAAGGGCAGACCUCUGUUUUACUGUGGAUGCAAACCAAAGCUGCACAGGUUUUGUUGCCAUCAAUGCCUUAGACAGUGUUUUACUGUCUAACUUCAGUGUCACCAUCAUCCAACAGUGAUGAGUGCAGGCUGGGCCACUUCUAGGAAUAUAAUAAUAGACACUGGGAUGUGUUUGCUAACCAGGAUUUGCCCGUGAUGGUAAAAGUUAAUGUAUAAUUGUCCUUGACUGCAUAACACACAUCAUCUCAUCAACCACCUUACUCAUCCAAACCCUUCAAUCAGUGAGUGCUUGUUGGAUUAUUCCUCCUCUGGUCCUUCUGCUGCCAAUAGUUUCUACAUCAGUUUGUGGGUAUGGCAUUUUUGUGUCAAUGGUAUUGCUUCUGCUUCUGCUUCUGCUUAUGCCAAGUCAUCGUUCUGUCUGGUGAAAGACAUCAUGUUACAGCUGAAAAAUGAGUAUUGAGAAUAGUAAUCACUCCAGCACAGGAAUAUGAAUUUCUACUAAUCCAAACAAGGAUCCAGUGCCCAAACAGUUGGGUUAACAUAGCUCCACCGAAAACUGGUCAAUUUUCAGCUGAAAAUUGUUCAGACAUAUUCUCUCCCCAAAGGUGCAGAAUUAGAUGUACUUCUUUUACUUUGAUAGGCAUCCAUUCACAUUGGCUCCUCCUGAUUUUAAAAUGCUGCCAAGAAGGUAGGAUUUGCCCAGAUCUAAGCUGGGCUGUAGCCCUGCUUCAUGUAGUGCAGUCAGGGGUGAUUUUACCUGUUUGGGGUCUACGGGGGGAGCAGAAGGAGUCUGUGUCUGGUGAGUGCCACUAGAAAAAAAAGCAUAUUGUAGCACAGAAGGGUUGUUUUUUUCCUGUACAAAUUGCUUCCGUUCCACUUUCAUAAGUAAACAACCAGCUACAGAAUUAGCUACAGUGCUAAAUGAAAAAAGGGAGUUGAAAGAGAGUAAUGUAGAAUAAUUGAACAGGAAGAAAGGAAAUAUGCAUGUAGCAGAACCUGAAAAGGAGAAAGAGAACUAAUUAAAUGUAGUAUAAUUAAUUUCACACAAUGUCCUUUAGAUGCUGCAUCAUAAAAUGUUUUGCUAAAUGAGUGCACCUAGAAUCAACUACACUUUCAGGAACUUUUUUCAUCUCUUUUGCUCUGGAUUAUUGUUUUGGACCUGAUGCAGAGAGCUGUUGUGAGGAGAAAACAUCAGAGCUCACCAGGUCUUGCUGAGAUCAAGGUGAAAUUCCACCAUUUCAAGCAAAGAACAGCAAAGUAGGCAGGGCAAAGAGACCAAAGCUCUGGUGUGGGUGACAAGUCAGAAUGCAAAUUUAUUGUGUGCAUUUGCAAGAAUCCGUGCAUGUUUUUUUGAGGUAUGCAUGCAACACCAUGAUCUUGCAAAAUGCAUGUCUGUAUGCAGAUACAUUGUAGGGGACGUUCCAGAGUGCACAUCUGUGAAAGUGCCUGAUGGUCUCUUUGGAGCUUAGUACCAUCAUAAAUGUAAUCCUUUGUCCCAUUUUGGCUAUGCUAAGCUGGGGAGUAGAAUCUGAGGACUGACUUUAGUCCCCCUAAUCACUUCUUGAUUUCAAAUGUCAGGAGCAUACCCCCUGUAUCAGUUUCCAAGAGUGCUAUUCAGAAUAUGCAGCAGAUUCAAGGAUAAAAAAAACAGUGUAAAUUUCGUUAUUGUUGGAGGAAAAAUAUUGUGAGUGGAGUAAACUGAGAGUCACUGGAGAAUGAUGAGGCUGAAAGGAAGAAAUGAAGUAUGUGAGUGUUCUUUUAGGACUCUGAUAACUCUGCACCAGAGGUUUUGUGCAAAAAAGCAGAACUCAGGAGCAUAUUGCUUCCUGCUCUGUCUCUGGUCUUCAGCAAACUGCUUGAUUUUCUUCUAACAAAAUGUGCAGCCAUUCUUUUCUGUGCUUGUGCAUGAAUUGCAGACACUCCUGGGAGCUGCCAUGCAGCCAAGCAACUGAUCAACAUGAGUAACUCAAGCACAUGUGUAACCAGUUUCUCUGGUCUCAAGCUUCCCAUGUUCCAACCUGCUACAUCUCCUGUCCUUUUGAUACCUGGUGGCUGAUACCCAUCUCAGAGAGGCAGAUGUUGUAGGCAGAAAUCUUCCCUUUGGCUAUGGAUAACUUUUCAGCCACUGAUUGUUUGAGUCUCUCAAAUGAAGGCAGGCUUUUCCUUGGCCAAUGUGGAGAAGACUCCCUUUUUAGUAUUAUGCAGUAGUUAAUCAUCCAUCUCCAGGAAUAAAUUAGAAUAACAAGCCAGAGCAAACCAUUUUAUUCGUACUCCAUCUUAGCAGAAUGUCCCUCAGAAGGGAGACACACUCCAGUGUUUCUGCUCCCAUCCUACGUCCUCCUUUGUUGUCCAUAAGGGGACUAAUUGAAUCAUAAGAUGCUUCGAAUGUCAGUGCUAAUCUCCUGGGUCAUCCUCUCUACAUGGGAUAUAAUGAGGGUAAGUAGAGCUCUAGCUGCUUACAUUAUAGCCUGUGACUUAGGAAGGCAUUUCUUUGCUCCUCAGUAGGCUUGAGGUUGCUACGUUAUAUAGUUUUCAAAAAAAAGCAGUUAUUAUAAGGCACUGUUAUCUCCUGUCACUUUCAAUAAAAUCAGCUUGGCUUUCUGAAAGUCCUACGAGGAAGGAAUCAGGAUGAAAAUUCAUGAGUGCAGACUAAGAGACAUUGGCAAAUAAGACCUUCUGUCAGUCAUUACUCGGCAGAUUCUUUUUUUAGGGAGGGAAUGAGUAAGCUGGUGUUAGGGGACCCUGCUGUGUGAUUUGCCAAACGUUUCAAAACGUCAGCCCUACAUGUAAUGACCGGUGAUGAAUGCAAGCUAUAUUAAUGAGCUUUGCACUGCAGCAAGGUGGGGUUACAACAACAAUGCAGCUCUGCCUGAUGAUGUAUAUUGGCUUUGAUCACCAGGCCAUGGCGGGUCCUUUCAGGAAAGAAGUGACUGUCAUUAACUGGGAAACCUUUUGAAAGGCUUCGUUGCAUAAGAUCUCUCAUGUGGGCAAGGAUGAGUGGGCAGCAUCCUCAGAAGUCCUGGUGGGCAUCCCUGAACAAACACUAAGUAGAAAAGCUCCUGACAAGCCCAUUAGAUGGAUAGAAAGGGCCUCUUUUUCUUGAGUUGAGACUUCUUCACUGAGGUGAGAUUGCUACUGGGGCCCAAGGAAAGCCACUGGUGUCAUUCUGUUGUUACUAUGAGCAGGGACUCCACAGCUCAUGUUAACGCUUUCCCAAGGAGGAAGAACUCAUGGUGUCAUUGCUGCUCUCACACCCAUAAGUACUAUUAUCCUUCAUGUCUUAAAGUUAGGAGAAAUUAAAAUGGUGACUUGAUUCCUCCUGCCAUCAAAGAAAGUUUCUGGCUGAGCAGAGAUUUGAGUCCAUCAUUUUACGUACCAAGAAACUAAACCCUUCAACACCCAUGUGGCUAGUUGACCAUGUUUGCUGAUGUUUGCUCUUGGUGUCUGCAUGUGAAACAUUAAACCCAAAUUGCUUCUAACUGAGCAGGCUUCCAAUCUCCCAAUCUCUCCCAGUUGUUUUUCUGGAAAAGUUUCCUGUCUCAGAAAAAGCUCCAUCCUGCAAGCAUUGGCAGCUCUGCACCCUUACCGACUUCAGGGUGCAGGGCUAAUCUUGCUCAGUAUCUUGCAGAGCAGAGCUCAUCAGGGAAUUUUAAAACAUUAAGGUCCCUGUGAUUCAUACCGCUGCAGCAGUAAUUUGAAGCACAUUUAUUUUUCAUGGGGUUGUUGUAAGUGUAGCUGAAUAAUAACAUUGUAUGGAACAUGUGUGUUUAAAUUCAAACUUGACCUUGGGAGGGGUUAGAACGCAUCUUCUGCUUUUGUGUCAAGCCUGUCUGAUGAUGAAUUGGCAGGACCUGCCUUUCUGACAUAGAUAUUUUCACUUAGAUCCAUUUUAGUAUUUUAUAGAAAAUUGAAUUUUGAAGCCAAAUGACCCAUCUUAAUAGGCUAAUCCUUGUCCUUGCUUUGCUAAGCAUCAAACUGAAAUAGCUUAUGUCUUUCUGAGACAUUUCAUUAGCAUCUCAUGGGAAAACAAGAGCAGACGACUGCAACCAGCCUCUCUGCAGCUUUGUUCCAAACAGUGUGGGCAGCAGCGUGGUGGAUGUGUGGUCCCACAAUGUGUGCGAGUAGAAAGACUGUGGCCACUUUACCCCCUUAGCUGACAAAUACCUCAGCCCAGUCCCAAUUUAAACAAGAGGGCUGUGACACCGAGGAGGCAAAGCUGCUUUGGCUCACUUGCCCUGUGUCAACACCAAAAAGUUACUGCAAUGGAGUGGGGAGAAGUGAGAAACUUCUCCAGAGAAGCUGGGCGCCUGUGAGUAGGGUUUUUUUUUAAUUGCUUUCCACCUGUCAGACUUGUCAGGGAUGAAACUGGAUGUUUGCAAAGAGGGAAAAAGUCCUUCCCCCUCACCAACCCCCACACCUCCUCCCUCUCUCCCCUGGCCUGUCUCCAGGCUCCGAUGUGACAUCUGAGCAAGUUUAUUUUGGCAUCUGCUGGCAGCAGGAGAGGAGGAGUUUGUGAGAAGAGGCAUCCCACGGCUCGGCUUCCCAGCGGAUAUUUGGUGUCUGAGAUGCGUUUGGGAAUAAUUUCCUUUGGAUGCUGUUAAGAAUCUGUUGUGAUCCAUGCCCUGGCAUUUAAGCUCAAGUAGCUUUUGAGAUGCACUAGUGCUUUACCAACAGCUUUGCAGGUCUGCACAAGUGAGGUGACGUGCUCAGGAUGAUCUGUCCAUCUUCAGUAAGUCCCAGGUACCACAACAUUGCUCUGUGAGGAAUAGUCAUCAGCUAGAAAAGAGAACCAGCCAAGGUGCUUACCACAAUAAUGAAUAGCCAGUGCAUGGUCCUAUAGCUCCUAAUUCUCCAUCGCUCUGAUGCCAACUGCUAAGGAAGUCUAUUGGGCUCAUCGAAGUCUUGCUGUGACUCACAGCCCCGUCUUACUUAAAAGAGCCUUUUCAUGUUGAUCAAGACAACCAAUCUCCACACCCUACGAUGCCUCCUGGAGAGAUGGAUAGAAAAAAAAUAGGCAGACUCUGAGCCCUGGAGGCAAUCUGCAAGGAAAAUGAAUAGCACAGGAGGAUGAAUUGUCGUAAACAAGCGGGAGUGAGAUUUUGGUUGAAGAGAAAAGCUUUUGAUUGAUUUGUGAAGAUGCAAAAAUCCAACAGGAGGAGAAUGUUUGCUUUUUUCCCUUUCCUUUUUCCGGUGUUUUUUGUUGCAUGCUGAUGUUACUAACACAACUAUCUGGUCUCUGGGAAAAGUCUGAAAAUCCUUUUGAUGACGUGAUAUAUAUAGAAACACAGAAAGCAAAUAGAAUUAUUAUUGUGCAGUUAUUUCACCUGUGCUUUCUGAAGACAUUUGGAGUCUUUUGUACCUUUUAUCGUACAUCAUAAGCUGGUAUGACACAAUCUUCCUCACAGUUGAGCAUUGAAAAUCAGUAAUUUUUGGAUGGCAUGCAUUUCAAGGGGGGCCAAACAAAGCCAGAUCUUUUCCCUGCAGAAACCUUUUCUGCCUCUAUCUCUCUGUACAGAGGUUCAUUAAUUUUGCAUUUGCCUUCCAGACUGUUGAGUGGAGCAGAGAUAGCUCUCCACCAUUUCUAUUUUAGUGUUUGGCUAUGGGUAGCUUUGGCUUUCCUAUUCACCAUGGGUAUAAAUCUGCCACUCACACCCCGAAUUAUUCUUCCUCAAGCUUACUGAUGAAAUGUUUUCCCAGAAGACAGCACUUCUUCCCCAGGAAUCAGAUUAUAACAAUGUUUCACAGAUCAGAGGGAUUUCUACCAGUUAACUGUACUAAGCCAAGGACAUUGCUCUUUGGUGAGGAGCUGGUUUUAAUGGUGUCUAAAUGGUGUUAGACUGGCAGCAUGAGAGCACGUACUGUGUCUCCCCAAGUCCAUGGAAACUGAUUAAGAUACAAACUGAAAUCUGAAAAGGUGUUUUGUGAAGUCCAGUGAGCUCUAUAUGAUAAAUAAUAUAUUAAAAAGCAGUGAGGUAUGCUGUAAUAAACACUUUCCCUCCUUGUCCUUGCAAUAUAUACAAUAACCAAGAGAUAUUGUCCUGUACUCAAUCAAAAUCAGGACCAGAGUCUUUGUUCCUUCCAGACACAAGCUACGAACCGUGAUUUCUGUUUAAUCUGAUCAAUGCCUCUGGCAUUUAAGAUUGGCUGUGGAGCUGUAAACAUAAUGAACUGCUUCAUUUCCACCUUGCUAAAUGAUGUUUUUAAAAAAAAGCUUCAGAAAAGAGAAACAAACAAAGCCAGACUGGGUCACUUAAAAACACAAACUGUGUUUCUUUGCAGAUGCAGACUGUUUUAUACCAGUCGUGCACAUGGGUCUUCCUCUGCACUCACAAACGCUCCACACAUUUGUAUUUUCUUUUACUUCAAAAGUCUAGAGCAGCGCUCCCCGGGAAGGAUGCUCAGUUCUCUGGGCAAGAAAAUUAACCAGUCUGGCUGCCUUGCUGUGGUGUCAUGACCAGGUUUACAAUCCCUGUACCUUUUGCUUGUCCUAAUCCAGAUCAAGCCCAGAGGAAGGGGUGGGGUAAGUCUCAAGUUCUGAGUCAGGAAACACCAUUGGCUACAGAAGGCUUUUUUCUGGGAUGGUCACAAGAAAUCUAAUUUCAUGCUUGUGAGGAUGGCAAAGAUAAAUUAAUCUUAUUGCAAUCUGACUGUCUGAAGGAAGGCAAAAAUGAUUUAUUGCGGUGAUGUGGAACUUUGUAUGAACACAUAUUCUGCGUGGGAGCUGUAUUAAAAAUGCUGUUGACAGUUGUAGCUACUUUUCAAGUGGACAGAAGGACUAGAACAUUAAAAAUGUCAGGUGUUAUAGAUUACAUUAUAGUUCCCCAUGGCAGUUCUAAGGUCAUUCCUGUUUAAUGGAUUUUGUUCCUAUUUGGGCAUUUUUAAAAUUCAGAACACAAUACUUCAACUUCUGCAAACUGUAUGUUUUCUAUGUGGAAACAAACACCAAGGAUAACAACACCGUCAAGAGCACUUUGAAAGUUGCCAAGUGCCAAGGUUGUUGCUGUUGCUGACAACCAGUGAGAAGCUGCUUUUAAAUGGUUGAAUGUUGGCAUGUUUUGCGAAUAUAUGUCUUGGAACGGAGGCUUAAAAUAGCUCAUGGACUACCUGGUUAUGCUGAAUGAAGGGGAAGAUGAAUCAGAGUUGACUGCGCUGGCAACACUGCGGUUUGAAUCUCUGGUCUACAAGAAGAUUUCAUUACAGUCUUUGAAUGAAUCCCUUAAGCUCUCUGUGCCUGAAAUCUAUACCAUAAAACAAGAGCAUCCUUCCAGCAAUGAAGGUACGGAGUGUUCUAGGUUGUUAGCUGUGUGCUAACGCUGUCAUAUCUGAAUAAUUACUGCUAUUACAUCUUGAUUAUGUUCAUGAAAUGUUGGGGUGCUGCAGUGCACAAGUGACUGUGUACAGCAUGCUGGUACAGGUUGGUGAAAGUGGCUGAGUGUUUGGUCUCUGUCUGAGCCCAGUGGGGCUAUUCCACAGAAAACGUGAUUUCAGAGGAGCGAACAUCGCAUUGUGCAACCCACACUCUGAUUAUUCAGAGCUCUGGCCCUGGGACUCUUCCCUUGCAUGUUUGUCUUUGGCAGAGAGAAGAACCACAGACCUGUGUGAUGCAGUGCUGAUACCUGCUCAGCCCUGAGAGGUUUAUGAAGAAAAAAGGUAGCUGUGGUUCCUGGUGAGCUCAGCUGAUGGGUCCUCAACUUUCUGUCACCGUUCUUUACCUCUGGUGUUUGGCUGCAUGAGCCCAGGGCUGGGCUGGCAGCUGGUGGAGACUGGGCUGACUGGUGUGUGCUUUUCCCCUGGAAAACAACAUCAGCACUUUGGUUUGGACACCCCACAGCACUCAGAGCUGUGUCUGUGCUCCUGUUCUUCUGGAGGGGUUUUGCACUCGACUGCCCAAAGUCACUUCUCGGUCUGCUUCAUCCUUCACAGCCCACAAGAGACCUGUAACAAUAACCAGGAUGAGCUGCCUUAUUGCUUAAAUACCCUCAUGAAUAUACUCCAACCUCAUCUACGGUUCAAACAAAUUCAAUAAGGCAGAGGAGGAUUUAAAGACAUUUUAAAUAAAUUAACUUCUGGGUGGAUGUUUAUUAAGUUUUAUGAUGCCAUUUACUUAAAUGUAACACUUGUUUCAAAAGGCGUCUGAAAUUUUCCUUUUGUGAACUAUGGAAAUUACUUCUAUAACUGAAAUGAGAAACAUGGGCCAAAUUGAAAGCAUUCCUCAUUGCUCGAGGCAUAGUCCUUGUGCCUUUCUAAAAGAACAAAGAAAUUCAUUGACUCUUUAUAGCCUUUUUCCUUUGAAUUGGUGGGGUGUGAUGUGAUGCCCAAUUACAUGACAUUGGGUGAGAGAGAGGGUUGCAUGGAAGGAUGGAGAAGCUCUGUUUCCCAGGAAUUUUGCUUUUUCAAGGAGUCAGCCCUAAGCUAGAGAAGUCAUGAGCAGAGGGCAACAUUUUUCACUCCAGCUUUAACAUGGUCUAUUUUUCUGCACAAGCAACGGAGACUCUGCUGGGAGCAUCCUACCCUGCACAGAAAUCUCCUGCAGCCAGAAAACGAGGACAUUGCCACGUGUUGUGGGUUUUCACUGCUGAAGAUACGAACUGUGGCUCCUUAGGCAGUGGACUGAAAACGCACCUUUUAACAGAGCAGGGCUGCAUACCAAAUAAAAGUAUCCAUAAAAUGAACUAUUUGAUUCUUUAAUAAUUGAUGGUGUAGGGACAAUAGAGGCUCCUGCCCUUCUCAUCUGGAAGCAGCACCAAAAUGCUUUCAGAGAGCAAUGCAUUUCAACUGGGUUUUAGAAGAUGAAUUUUCCAGGCAUGAAUGAUUCCAAAUAUUUAAAUGUUUUUUUGUUGUUGCUUUCCAAGCAAACUUUCCCUCUGCCAGAAAUCGAAACAAUUGGCUUGAAUGGCUAAAAACUAUGAAGAUUUUGUGGAUUUU
Columba livia (rock pigeon) is the source of this 9871-nucleotide long non-coding RNA. RefSeq lists it as uncharacterized. Lineage: Eukaryota; Metazoa; Chordata; Aves; Columbiformes; Columbidae. The transcript has 3 exons. The record is from RefSeq and is a predicted model, not a curated record.